Non-coding RNA from Rattus norvegicus (Norway rat), 3391 nucleotides. Lineage: Eukaryota; Metazoa; Chordata; Mammalia; Rodentia; Muridae. The record is from RefSeq and is a predicted model, not a curated record.
ACAGUAUCAGACCCCGUGUGGGCCUUGUCACCACCACGGUGCUGAAGCUACUAGCUAAGCCUACCAGAAGCCAAGGCUGCUCCCUUCCCUGUGCCACCCGAGGACCCAUGAGCUACCAGACAGGGUCUCACCCUGCGAGCCAAGCUGACCCAGACUGCCUUUGAACGUCAUCAACCCUGCUCACACCUCCAGUGUGUAGGGUCCCAGUUGUGAGCCUUCAUACCCGGCUUCUAUCUACUUACUAUGUUGUUAUCUGUUCAGCGCCCUAAACAGAGUGGACUCUACACGAGAAUAGAGACUUCUGGCUUUGUUCAGUCAGCAUCUCCAGCAUAAAGAAUCUUAUGAGAGGCUGUAGAGAUGACUCAGUGGUGAAGAGCCCUGGUUGCUUUUUCAGAAGACCCAGGUUCGGUUCCCAGCACCCACAUCAGGCAGAUUCCCCAGAAGCUGACAUUUUCUUCUGGUCUACACAGACACCUGCAUGUGCCCAUGUACAUGUAAUUAAAAGUAAAUUUUUAAAAAAGAACGCAAUUAAUUUUAAUAGGCCUCUGUUUUCAGCUAGGCCCUGUAUAAGUAUAUAGACAAGGCUUUACCGCUGCGUCAAAGUCCCGGCCCAGCACGUGUCUUAACCAAUGAAUGCCUGUAUACAGAUGGCUGUGUGGCUCAUAGCAUAUACUGCCUAUUUCUGUCAGCUCCAUGCAAGGAAGGGAAGUUCUGUGUGUGUCUUCCUAAGAACCCACCUUUGAGAUCCAGGCUUCCCAGACGGGGAUGGAUGAUGCCUUCGGUGUCUGUGAUCUGGUUGUAGGAGAAACUGGCGAUCUGCAGGUAGGGCAGUUCGUUCAGCCGGGCGCUCCGGAGCUGAUUGCCGUCUGCCUUGAGCCACAGUAGGUGAGUGAGACUGUUGAGUGGUGACAUGUCUGUGAUAUGGUUCUCAGAAAUAUCCACGUAGCGGAGGUGGAUGUAGGAGCGCAGUAAGGAGAUGUCUGUGAGGUCCCUAGGAGAUUGGGGGGCCAGGAGAAGAUCCACCAUAAAGGAUAAGAACAUUUGUGCUAGGCCUACUAGUUCAGACCUACAGACCCAGCUACUACUACCUAGGACCCUGAAGCAGCAGAAUAACAAGGCUGUGGCCUUCCUGGGCUAAAACUGAGUGAGUUCAAAUGCAGCAAGAACAGAGAUGUUCGGACAGAGAGCAACGCAGAGAUAGCUUGUACUGGAUGACGGAGAGGGAAGGGAAAGAAGAGGCAAGUGGGGUUUUUCUUCUUGUUUUUCAGUGCAGAGAUCAAAACUAGUACCUUGCCUCCUAACCACUAAGCUACAUCUCUGAGACUCCACUAUGAAAGGAUGCCAGAGCUUCCCACGGAAGUUUUUUUUUUUUUUCCAGAGCUGGGGACCGAACCCAGGGCCUUGCGCUUGCUAGGCAAGCGCUCUACCACUGAGCUAAAUCCCCAACCCCCCACGGAAGCUUUAAUGUGUUGUCUUGGCGCUGGGGGGUGAACCCGGAGCCUUGUGUAUUCUAGGCAAGCUCUCUACUGCUAAGUCACCCUCCCAGUCACCAAAGAGUCCCGGAAGUUCUGAAAAGCAAAUCCCCACCAUUUCUUCCCAUCAGCUUGGGACCAGAGAGAGAGCUCUAGCCAAAACACUCAGGAGAGAGAGAGGGAAGGCACGUGAUGCUCCCGUCUCUCAGUCCUCACCUGUCCUUAACCUCCAGCUUAAUAUAAGCGUGAGCCAGUCCACUGCCAAUCUUGCAGAGUAAUGAAAGCCCUUCCUUCAUCAUGGCCUCCGUGAGGGGGGUGGGCAGCCACUGCAAGAGGUGGGUAAUUCAGGCAUCCCUUUGCAGUCCCCCUCUAGUCCUGAGCCCGGGGAGCCCUGGUCCCGGCUCUCACUUCCUCAGAGACUUCUUCCCCCUCCUUCCUGUAGUCGUCUUCCCAGUCCUCCAUCUCAUUGUCAUCCUCUUCUUUUUCCACUUCAUCCGGCUCCUGAUCAAAGUCAUCUUCCACAUCAUCUUCAUCCGACAUCUUUCUCUCCCCUGCGCUCCGGAGUCAGACGAAACUCAGUCCUGGUCCUAAGAAAGGAGGUCUUAGCUCCCACGCCCACCAGCCCUCCAGUCCCUCACAUCCACUUACGGGUACCCUACACAUACAGCCUCUGUCACCUCUGAACUCCCAACUGCAUAUCUUUCCUCAUGUUGGAGAGCGUCUUUGGACUCCCAGUCUCUGCUUGGAGCCCCCCGCCCCUCCCCCCGCUCCCGGCUCCCUUCGGGACACUUUCCCACACUCCCAAACUGUUCCUGCCUUUCCUUGCCUCCAACUCUGCCCCAGCAGCCCAGCGUCCUCCUUCCUGAAUUCCCUUUAAUCCAGUUCUACAUGUCCUCCUAAAAUCUCCCCUACCAACUCCUUCUCCCCUUCCUUACCCACACCUCACUUCCAGGUUCUCUUCCACCCCCAACCCCUAUUCUUCUAAUGCGAUCUCCCUGCUUAACACCACCAUUUCCCUGACACGAUAACGUCUUCAACCCUCCAACCCAGUUCGCCUUCAGAAGUGGGAGCAGACCCUGACUCUGCUCCUCUAGAAGUAGUUAUGAAGAAGAUCUUUGUGCUGAGAGGCCAGGACUGUUUUUUUCGGAAGACGCAACGGGGUAGCAGGAGUUAUAUACUGUUGUUAUGGCAACGGGGGCGGGAUGCUUAGCUUUGCAGCCAGCUUCCGUUGAGAGCCUGGAGCACCUCAACCGCAAAGCACAAACCCUAACGCCCCUAUUUCCACCCUCAGCGGGUAGUGCAGUGGUUGCCAGGUUACGAGGCCAAAUUCCUAAUCCCAGGAACCUGGAGGAGGCGAGAAGAGAGUGUCACGGACUUAAUUGUCGGGGGACAUAAAACAAUGGUCUAAUUAUAACAGCAGCGCUGAGAAGCGGGAGGGAGGCUGGGCUGGCCUUUAAGUCCUUAAAGCAACUAGAUGUCUGGAUGCAAAGGAAUUGUAGACCAUCCCUAAGAAGCAAAAGGGGGAUGGAUGAGAGGAAAGACACUAAGAGAAGCAAGAAAUACUACGUUAUGGGAUUUGUUGCUGGUCGGGUUUGGCUCAUUAUUUAUUGGAAGGUCUUGGAAGGUGGACUGGUGGAGCAAACUGCUUUAAGACCCAGCUUGUGACCCCGGCGACUCCCUCUUGCAGGUGAUGGAGAGAUGGCUCAGCGAUUAAGAGCACUGGCUGUUCUUCUAAAAGAUCUAGCUCCAUUCCCAGCACCCACAUACCAUCUGUAACUCCUGCUCUAGAGAGAUCUGACGCCCUCUUCUGACCUCUACUUGCACAGAACAGGCACAUGGUGCAUGAAUGUAUGUAUGCAGGCAAACGAGCAUACAUAUAAAAUAAAUUAUUAAUAAAUUAAUAAAUCUAAAACAAUAAA